Molecule: ribosomal RNA, 158 nt
Filed under: basidiomycete from Bashania fargesii
Lineage: Eukaryota; Fungi; Basidiomycota
Description: 5.8S ribosomal RNA
Source: RNAcentral
CUUUGAACGCACCUUGCNCUCCCUGGUAUUCCGGGGAGACGCCCGUUUGAGUGUCAUGGUAUUCUCAACCUCUAUAACUUUUGUUAUUGAGGCUUGGACUUGGAGGUUGUGCUGGCUCUCGUUAGUCGGCUCCUCUUAAAUGCAUUAUCUGGAACGUU